RNAcentral lists this ribosomal RNA (301 nucleotides) under uncultured bacterium. RNAcentral's name for it is "partial 16S ribosomal RNA". It matches the Rfam family "Bacterial small subunit ribosomal RNA", at positions 509 to 807 of the family's 1533-position model. The record is from RNAcentral.
CAGUCGCCGCGGUAAUACAGAGGGUGCAAGCGUUAAUCGGAAUUACUGGGCGUAAAGCGCGCGUAGGUGGUUUGUUAAGUUGGAUGUGAAAUCCCCGGGCUCAACCUGGGAACUGCAUCCAAAACUGGCAAGCUAGAGUAUGGUAGAGGGUGGUGGAAUUUCCUGUGUAGCGGUGAAAUGCGUAGAUAUAGGAAGGAACACCAGUGGCGAAGGCGACCACCUGGACUGAUACUGACACUGAGGUGCGAAAGCGUGGGGAGCAAACAGGAUUAGAGACCCCAGUAGUCCCUGUCUCUUAUAC